GAGCAUUUGACCAAGUACUUGGAUUCCUUUAAGGCAUCAUGUGUGAUGCAACCCGAGUUUCUGAUGUU
Molecule: small nucleolar RNA, 68 nt
Organism: Rosa rugosa (rugosa rose)
Lineage: Eukaryota; Viridiplantae; Streptophyta; Magnoliopsida; Rosales; Rosaceae
Product: small nucleolar RNA snoR60
Exons: 1
Source: RefSeq, a predicted model, not a curated record